UGGGUGCCCCUUUGUGGUCGGUGUACAGGUGGUGCAUGGUUGUCGUCAGCUCGUGUCGUGAGAUGUUGGGUUAAGUCCCGCAACGAGCGCAACCCUCGUCCUAUGUUGCCAGCGGGUCAUGCCGGGGACUCAUGGGAGACUGCCGGGGUCAACUCGGAGGAAGGUGGGGAUGACGUCAAAUCAUCAUGCCCCUUAUGUCUUGGGCUUCACGCAUGCUACAAUGGCCGGUACAAAGGGCUGCGAUACCGCGAGGUGGAGCGAAUCCCAGAAAGCCGGUCUCAGUUCGGAUUGGGGUCUGCAACUCGACCCCAUGAAGUCGGAGUCGCUAGUAAUCGCAGAUCAGCAACGCUGCGGUGAAUACGUUCCCGGGCCUU
This 374-nucleotide ribosomal RNA is filed under the name uncultured Cellulomonas sp. RNAcentral's name for it is "bacterial SSU rRNA". It matches the Rfam family "Bacterial small subunit ribosomal RNA", at positions 1009 to 1382 of the family's 1533-position model. The record is from RNAcentral. Lineage: Bacteria; Bacillati; Actinomycetota; Actinomycetes; Micrococcales; Cellulomonadaceae.